This 440-nucleotide ribosomal RNA is filed under the name uncultured bacterium. RNAcentral describes it as "partial 16S ribosomal RNA". It matches the Rfam family "Bacterial small subunit ribosomal RNA", at positions 338 to 795 of the family's 1533-position model. The record is from RNAcentral.
CCUACGGGAGGCAGCAGUAGGGAAUAUUGCUCAAUGGGGGAAACCCUGAAGCAGCAACGCCGCGUGGAGGAUGAAGGUUUUCGGAUUGUAAACUUCUUUUGUUAGAGAAGAUAAUGACGGUAUCUAACGAAUAAGCACCGGCUAACUCCGUGCCAGCAGCCGCGGUAAUACGGAGGGUGCAAGCGUUACACGGAAUCACUGGGCGUAAAGGGCGCGUAGGCGGGUUAGCAAGUCAGAUGUGAAAUCCUAUGGCUUAACCAUAGAACUGCAUUUGAAACUGUUAUUCUAGAGUAUGGGAGAGGUAGGUGGAAUUCUUGGUGUAGGGGUAAAAUCCGUAGAGAUCAAGAAGAAUACUCAUUGCGAAGGCGACCUGCUAGAACGUAACUGACGCUGAUGCGCGAAAGCGUGGGGAGCAAACAGGAUUAGAUACCCGGGUAGUC